GUAAGGAGCUGACGUGUUGGGGAAUGUGAUGGCAACACCACAAGCAUGGAGCUGGCGGUGCAGGAAGCCAGAGAGGGAGCAGCCUCAUCCCACUGGGUGAAGGUGCCCAGGGAAGGGGAGAACAGCCUGGCCAGAGGCAGGUCACCAUGUGAUGAGCUGUUCCCACCUGGGGGCUUGCCAGCAGACCAGAAGAAGCCCUGCAGCAUCAGGCAUUAAUGGCGCUAUUUGGGGACAGCAGAAACUGGAGUAAGAUGGACAGAAAUCCACCCUGGUGUGCACAAACCAGGCCUUUCACCUGCUCUGAAUCUGCUGCUGCCUCAGCCACCCAAGAUGUGGGAAGGAUACGUGAGCAUUCUGAUGGACACAACAGCCACUUCCAACAGCAGGGGUUGUUUUCAGUCCUCAGUUCUUCCAAGUGCCUGAUGAUUUCAUAGCCCCUAUAGAGACUGACUUGGAGAAGUUGCUGGCCCACCCUAGCUGGGAUCUGCUGUCCAUAUCCCUGUGGAUGUUGCUGCUUCCAUACUGGAAAUACGUGUGGAUUUCAAUGGCAGUUAGAAAUCAUCGCUCUCCACCCAAAUUGUGACCAGCCAAGGAGACUGCAUCACUUGCUCAGAUCUUGGGAGCUUUAAUUGAGGAAAAGCAACU
Long non-coding RNA from Neopelma chrysocephalum (saffron-crested tyrant-manakin), 645 nucleotides. RefSeq lists it as uncharacterized. Lineage: Eukaryota; Metazoa; Chordata; Aves; Passeriformes; Pipridae. The record is from RefSeq and is a predicted model, not a curated record. The transcript is spliced from 4 exons.